Molecule: ribosomal RNA, 253 nt
Filed under: uncultured bacterium
Lineage: Bacteria
Description: partial 16S ribosomal RNA
Rfam family: Bacterial small subunit ribosomal RNA
Source: RNAcentral
UACGGAGGGUGCAAGCGUUAUCCGGAAUCAUUGGGUUUAAAGGGUCCGUAGGCGGUUUAGUAAGUCAGUGGUGAAAGCCCAUCGCUCAACGGUGGAACGGCCAUUGAUACUGCUGAACUUGAAUUAUUAGGAAGUAACUAGAAUAUGUAGUGUAGCGGUGAAAUGCUUAGAGAUUACAUGGAAUACCAAUUGCGAAGGCAGGUUACUACUAAUUGAUUGACGCUGAUGGACGAAAGCGUGGGUAGCGAACAGG